CCCGUAGAUGUUCUGGGCCGCACGCGCGCUACAAUGAUGAAUUCAACGAGUUUAUAACCUUGGUUGAAAAGCCUGGGUAAUCUUUUGAACUUUCGUCGUGAUGGGGCUAGACCCUUGCAAUUAUUGGUCUCCAACGAGGAAUUCCUAGUAAACGCAAGUCAUCAGCUUGCAUUGAUUACGUCCCUGCCCUUUGUACACACCGCCCGUCGCACCUACCGAUUGAAUGGUCCGGUGAAAUCUUCGGAUUGAGACUUUGAUUUCUUCACGGAAAACGCUGUUUUAAAAAGUUGAUUAAACCUUACCAUUUAGAGGAAGGUGAAGUCGUAACA
Molecule: ribosomal RNA, 329 nt
Filed under: uncultured eukaryote
Lineage: Eukaryota
Description: partial 18S ribosomal RNA
Rfam family: Eukaryotic small subunit ribosomal RNA
Source: RNAcentral